RNAcentral lists this ribosomal RNA (722 nucleotides) under uncultured bacterium. RNAcentral's name for it is "bacterial SSU rRNA". It matches the Rfam family "Bacterial small subunit ribosomal RNA", at positions 127 to 851 of the family's 1533-position model. The record is from RNAcentral.
UGCCCGUCACAGGGGGAUAACAGGCGGAAACGGCGACUAAUACCCCAUAUGCUGCGAUGCUGCAUGGCAUUGCAAUGAAAGAUUCAUCGGUGGCGGAUAGGCUCGCGGGACAUUAGCUAGACGGCGGGGCAACGGCCCGCCGUGGCGACGAUGUCUAGGGGUUCUGAGAGGAAGACCCCCCACACUGGGACUGACACACGGCCCAGACUCCUACGGGAGGCAGCAGUGAGGAAUAUUGGUCAAUGGGCGGAAGCCUGAACCAGCCAUGCCGCGUGAAGGACUAAGGCCCUACGGGUCGUAAACUUCUUUAGACGCAGAGCAAUAAGGUCCACGUGUGGACCGAUGAGAGUAUGCGUAGAAUAAGCAUCGGCUAACUCCGUGCCAGCAGCCGCGGUAAUACGGGGGAUGCGAGCGUUAUCCGGAUUCAUUGGGUUUAAAGGGUGCGUAGGCGGCCGAGUAAGUCAGCGGUGAAAGACCGGGGCUCAACCCUGGAAGUGCCGUUGAUACUGUUUGGCUGGAAUGAUCCCGCCGCGGGAGGAAUGAGUGGUGUAGCGGUGAAAUGCAUAGAUAUCACUCAGAACACCGAUUGCGAAGGCAUCUCGCGAGGGGUCAAUUGACGCUGAGGCACGAAAGCGUGGGGAUCGAACAGGAUUAGAUACCCUGGUAGUCCACGCAGUAAACGAUGAUGGCUAACUGUCGGGCCUGCGGGUUCGGCGGCCAAG